Molecule: long non-coding RNA, 5896 nt
Filed under: Marmota monax (woodchuck)
Lineage: Eukaryota; Metazoa; Chordata; Mammalia; Rodentia; Sciuridae
Source: RNAcentral
GAGAUGUUGCAAGACACAGUGGCAGAUGGGAAGCUGGAUGUGUUUCAUUUGAUGUGCAUAAUUGAAGUCCCUAAAAGAAAGUGCUUGUUUUGACUUUUAUGCUUAUUGUUAACAUUAAUAGAUUUUGAGAUUUCAUAUUCUAAUAUGGAUUUCUGAUUUCCUUCAAAAAAAAAAAAAAAAGAACAGAAGAUCUGGCAAUCGGGUUUCAUGUGUGGAAGGACAAGCACCCUCUAGCUCCGACUAGGUGAGCGUUCUUCACCCAUGCUCCUUCACACUGCCAGCCUGGCUCUGAGGCUCUUGAAACCAAGUCCCUUUAAAAUAUGAUGCCCAGCAAGGAUCAUUCCUGGAAUGCACAAAGGUUAAGUAAAGCAGGUGAGUUGCUCAGAGAUGCAAAUUGUCUGCUUGUUGGAAGGGUGGGGGGGGGGGGCGGGCUGUAAAACUGCUUUCGUCUCCUCUUAUCCAAUGCAGCAUGUAGAUGCUAAAGAGAGCCUGAAGAGGGGGGCAGAGUGGCUGAGCUUGACCUAAACUUUUGGCUAGGAUUUAGAAUAGGGAGGUUUGCUUAAGAGCAACUGUCCUGACUGCCCUUUACUUACUAGAAGACUGUGCAUGUAAAGUGCUCAGCUUGCUGCCUGGCACAGACACAAUGACACUCAUGACACACUGACAGCCAGUGUCAUUGCUGUACCCAUCACUAACCCUUGACUUCCUGGCACAUAACCAGCAACCUUUCCUUUCUUUAGUCCUGACCCUCUAAUGGUCACCUCCCCUGCAUCUGCCUCCUAACCUCUUCCUAAUGCCUGGCUCACUCAUUUGCAGCCCUGUUAAACUAGCACUAGAUGUGCUAGUGUCGUGAUCCUGCUUCUCUUUCAUGAGUAGCAAUAAAGUCACUGAAGGGAAGCGAGCCUGCCCGCUGGCCUUCUGAAGAGGAAGUGGCAAGACAUCCCUCUCCACCAUGGUCAGGCUCUGUGUGGGAAGAGUCAUCUCAGCCCAGAGCUGAUGGUGUUGGAGAAGUAAGGAGGACAAAGAUGCCCGCAGCAUGGGAAGAGUAGGGACAUUGGUGCCAGCUGGAAAGCCACCACUUGCUCUCUGUCCUGAGACAGAAGGGGCUGAGCAGGAGAGUGCCUGCUGGAAUUCUCCUCCUGGAGACAGCUCUGGUGAGAGGCCUGCUCCCAAGUUCUACUUCUAACUAGGAACUGAAUUGACAGGCUCUUGCCACAUUUGUGAGCAAGUGAAGAGAUGGGGCCUGCUCUGAGGUUAUCAAAAGGCCAAUGUACCAUAAAUGCAGCUGGUUAUUCUCCCUGGUGGUAGAAAACCAACAGCAUCACCAACCAUAAGUGUGACCUUCCUCCUCUACUUCUCUGUUGGGUUUCUCUUCUUGCUUGUUUUCUUUGCACAGUAGGCAGUUCAGGAGGCUAAGCCCCAAACAAAUGCUUCCUUCCUUUCUGAGGUGUCACAGCUCUGUGAGCCCAGAUGUACAGCCUGUAUCUUUUUCCCUCCCAACCCCAGCCCAUCUGUUCCACAAAGAUGAACCCUAAAGCCCCUUUAGGUAGUGGGGGCCUAGCCCCAAGUGCCAGAGAGAAAAUUGCCACUUUUUCUCUUUCCUCCUACCAUGUGAUUGGCUUUGAGCAAAAGCUAAUUCUAGGCAGCCUCUGUCAACUUCCUGAGGUUGAUGUCUACCAUGAUCCUUUUGGGAAUGUAUGCUUCCCUGUUACUGGUGGGGAGAGAAUCUGGGGAGUCCUGAAGGCUGAAACAGGGGCAGAAUCUGAGAAAUGUUGGGCUACGAGGAUGCUGCGCCUUCUUCAUCACUGUCUCAUCCUGGGGACACAAUUGCUACCACCAUGAUGGUGUCCUACUUGGGAUGGGGGUACAGGGAAGGUACUUCGCUGUUGUGUGCACUGAUGCGUCAUGAUGGGACUCUUCCCUCUUACUUGUUAUUCAGGACCCAGGGUUGUGCCAGCCCAACACACAUGGGUGCUCUGCUUUACCCACCCCCUUGUGGAGAUGAUAGUAUAGCUAAAACACUCUGUGCAUUUACUUUGUUUGACCAGGCAUUUUAGUAUCUUUACUAACUCAUUUGCUGCUCAUAAUAAAGUAGGCAAUAUGUUUCCUUCAUCUUUCAAAUGAAAAAGCAGGCUUAGAAAGGUUAGGUGAGUUGCCCAAGGUCCCCCAAACAAUAAGUAGUAGAGCUGAAAUUUGAACGCAGAAAACGAAACUCCAAAGCCCCCCACUCCUAUUGCCAUUUCCACAUCCUCUCAUAAAACUGAGGGCCUGAGGAAGGCCAGAGGUCUAUACAAGGAUUUCCUUGGGGCCUAACCACGAGCAAGCCCUCUCUAGGGAAGAGAACUGGAGGCAGCUCUCUGGUCCCCUCAGUUCUAGGCUGGUGGGGAAUAUGUUGAUUUCAAUGAGAAUCUGGCAUCUGGCACUUAUAACACUAAGGCAUAGCUGAAUGCAGCAGUGCACACCUGGACUCCAGCUACUCAGGAGGCUAAGGCAGGAGGAUCCCAAGUUCAAGGCCCGCCUGGGCAACUUAGCAAGACCCUGGCUCAAAAUAGAAAUAAAAAUAAGAGGCGAGUAGUUAAGCACUUUCCUAGCAUAUGUGAGGCCCUGGGUUCAAUCCCCAGCUCUACCAAAAAAAACAGAACAAACACACACACACACACACACACACACACAGAGGCAUCUGUCUGAGUUUUCAGAUCAGAAAGAAAAUCCUUUUGGCAAACUCCUCAAGAGAGCUAGCCUCUAACCAGCUCCUGGGGCUCAUGAUCUGGUAGAGACAGUGAACUCUUGUCUUCACCCUGUGUCUCCCCUGCCCCCCACCACCCCCACUUUUUACUCUGGAAAGGCCUUCUCCUGGGCCUUGACUAAAGAGUCCCCACCCUGAAAAAGACCAACCACUGAGCUACAGAUCAAAGAACAUCCAUCACUUUCCUGACCCAGGGCAGCCUCAGUUGGCACUACCUGAGCCACUCUGCCCCCAGAAAACCCCCAGGCCAGCUGAGAUGAGUACCACCUGGCAGACUCCGGCCUGCAGCUCAUGGGCCUGUAUAACCACCGCUCUAACUGCACCAAACCUUUGAUCUAAAACUGGAUUGUGCUUAUGCACUCAGACUACACAUACCAAUUCUCAUCAGAAGCUUUUUUCUUCUGGCAGAGUAUGAGCCGAAAACACAGUGCUUUUUUAAACUCAGUUUUUGUCACCCUCUUCAAAAAUCUGAGACCUGAACUCUUAUUCCCACCCAGUCAAACCUUUAACCUCCGCUUCCUCUGUUCUUCAGCCUUCCUUCACAGGAAAACUGCUGACAAACUGCCCCGCCCCGUGCACUCUCUUAUAAACAUGGGUUUGCUUUUACUGUUUACAAAAGUAAAAUAUGUCCAGUGUGGCUUGAGAUGCCUUACGAAGACAGAACUGGCCCACUGUACCCAUGGACGAGAGAAGGGCAAGAGUCGGGAUGGAGGCAGAGGUUUUUAGUCUGCAGUUGUGGAUUGAGAGAAGACUGAUGGAAGGAAAUUUCCAGUAGGAAACUCACAAUUCCACUUCCUGGAAAAGGGUAUCCUAUCAGAGAAAAUCUGAGAGUUCCCCAACCCUCCUAAAUGGGGGGUGAGGGGCAGUUGAGGGACACUUUGAUCCCCUGUGUUUGCACCCUCUUUUGCUGCUGUGGAUCAACAAAGGUCAGAAGCAGCUUCCAUCAAACCAGAAGACCCUGGGGCAGCAGGGGAGACAGAGGCCCCCGGAAGGGGUGUGUGCGCCUGAGCCAAGGAGUAACUAGAAUUUGGGAGAACUGGCCCCUGGAGGAGCCAUUUUACCAAACACAGAGUAGAAACCACACAGAUCAAAGUUGCCCGAUUAGGGCUGCUCCUGGCCCAGGAGCAGGCUGCGGUACCAGUCAAGUAAUGGGUGUUAAAGUUUCCUCUUGCUAAGGAAAUACCUCAAGUACAGGAAUCUUGCUAAUGACAAAAAAAUGUCAGACACAGGUAAAGUGGUAGGGGAGCCUUUGGGGGCAGUGGGAAACUUCUAGAGCCUUGCAAGUCAGACUUCAAAGUUCCCUCCUGUAUGUAGGGGAUUUUGAGAAACCAGUGCAAAUGAUGCGAGUUUUACUGCACUGUACUUAGAGGUGAGACAGGCCCCAUUUGUUUAUUUCUCCAAAAAGAUCACUUUGGGCACUUGGUGGGGGGAAUAGUCAGUCUUGUUUAUGAUUCAGAUGUCUUGUCAUUUCAACAUCGUCUUACACAUACUUGUACACGCACAAGGAUUCUGCAGAAGUCCUGAGACCUCAGGGCACAAGCAGGCCAGGCAGGAGCUACAAUAGUCCAAGAGGUCAAUCCUCUUGUCUCUCACAUGUUGUCACCCCAGAGGCUCAGGGUGACUCUCAGAGAGAGGUGGGGGAGAAAGAGAUAGAAAAAAACAGAAAGAGAGAAAGAGAGAAAGAGAAAAGAAGGAAAGAAGGAAGGAAGGGCGGAAGGGAGGGAGGGAGGAGGAAGGAGGAAAGGAGGAGGAGGGAGGGGGAGGGGGGAGAGAGAAUUACAGGCCAUAGAGCAGCUGCCUGAGGCCAUUUUCUCCACACAGAGUGCCAAAUAUAUUUCCCAGACAUGCUUGAAAAUCUCUCUCCUCAAGGACCCAGCUCCCUAUGAUGGGCUUAUGUUUCCAAGUUCUGGGGGAAAUUUUCUACUGCAUCCUCCACUUUGGGCCCUACCACACAAAAACAAACUCAAAGCACAGGCCAAAGAAGUCUAAAAACCUCAUUACCUUUUGGGAGUAGGGAUGGGAGAGGAAAAUAAGUCAGAGCAAAACCUCUAUUGCUUUCUGGAUAAGUUACCAUUACCAUGCUGACUGAAGCCCUCAAUGUCUAGUCGGGAUGCUGAACAUUUCAGAAAGAGGGUUGUCCUCCCCUCUUUUUGUAGGUGAAAGCCAUGGAGAAAGAAGCAUGAAGUGCAGAAAGAGGAGACAUACAUUAAUGCAAUCCACUGACAUGCGAGCCACCGGCUGUCAAAGUCCCAGAAAUAUCUCAGAGAAUCAGACAGCCUCCUGCAAAUGGUACAGAGGAUGACAUGGAAGAGGACAGGCACAGUAUUCAGGCCUCCUCAGCCUAUGGAGCUACUUUCCCCAGAGAGAGAUAAUUGGUGUGGGCCCACUACGCUGCAGAUAUUCACAAUGGUCACACAUGUGGAGGAAGGAGAGCAGGGGAGACCAACUUGGUGGCCUUAAGAGCUCUCUUUCUAUACAGGUCCUUGGGUACUGUCUUCUUAUAAAAUGCUACUUCCUACGUUUUUUCAGACAUCCCUCCUAAACCUAAUUGCUCCCAUACUGCCUCUGAUCUCGCCUCCAGACUGCUGGCAUCCACUUCCAAUUCUUGGCUCAACCCCAUGAGCUUGAUGUUUAGGCUCAUCUUGGCUUUCCAAGCUCCCCCAAGCAGGAUUCGAAUCAUGGUUCUCUCUUCUCACACUGAAGCCCCAGGUUCUUCCUGCUAACUCCCAUUCUCUGGCUGGCUGCUAAGAGCACAGCCUGAGACAAAUGCAUGCUAUUGCCUCUAAAGUCAAGGCCAGGCAGGUGUCCUUGUGCCAAGCUUCUGUCCAUGCUUGACAUGACAGCUCUGGCUUGCUGGGUCUUUCUGUGGCUGGGCUUCAUAUUGCUCUUUUCCAGGGAUUUGGGCAAUUAUUCUCUACCAAUUACAAAUUACUCCUUGCUCCAUUGAGGGGAAGAGAAGAGACCUUUUCAGUGCUGGGUCCCUCAGUCCCAAGAUACUGGCCCGCUGCCAAUGGUACCAUCUACCCCUAAGGUUAACAGCACCCUCUGGUGGCCAUGAUGUAACUGCAACUGAGGACAUUAUUAAAUUUAUUUUUGUAGUUUUAUAUAUUCUACUUAUUCUAGUAAUUUUGAGUAAAUCUAUAAAGGUGG